Small nuclear RNA from Erpetoichthys calabaricus (reedfish), 186 nucleotides. Its record names the gene U2. It matches the Rfam family "U2 spliceosomal RNA". From Rfam's summary of the family: U2 is a small nuclear RNA (snRNA) component of the spliceosome (involved in pre-mRNA splicing). The record is from Ensembl. NCBI's taxonomy places the organism in Eukaryota, Metazoa, Chordata, Cladistia, Polypteriformes, Polypteridae.
AUCGCUUCUCGGCCUUUUGGCUAAGAUCAAGUGUAGUAUCUGUUCUUAUCAGUUUAAUAGUGUACCACACAACAGGUGUAUUUGUGCUGCUGCUUAUGUCUGUUUACUUGUGGUUUUGUAUAUAUCUUUUGCUCUUCCUUGUUUACAGUCAUUCAGACCAUUCCUUCACCCCUGUAUGAAGCCUAC